This 339-nucleotide unclassified non-coding RNA is filed under the name soil metagenome. RNAcentral's name for it is "partial contains 5.8S ribosomal RNA, internal transcribed spacer 2, and large subunit ribosomal RNA". The stretch from base 1 to 120 matches the Rfam family "5.8S ribosomal RNA", at positions 35 to 154 of the family's 154-position model. The record is from RNAcentral.
GAUGAAGAACGUAGCGAAAUGCGAUACGUAGUGUGAAUUGCAGAAUUCAGUGAAUCAUCGAAUCUUUGAACGCACAUUGCACCUCUCGGUAUUCCGGGAGGUAUGCCUGUUCGAGCGUCAUUUGUACCCUCAAGCUCUGCUUGGUGUUGGGUGUUUGUUCCGCCUCUGUGUGUGAACUCGCCUCAAAACAAUUGGCAGCCGGCGUACUUGUUUCGGAGCGCAGCACAUUUUGCGAUCCAGAUCAACGUACAGCGGCAUCCAAGAAGCCUUAUUUAACGCUCUUGACCUCGGAUCAGGUAGGGAUACCCGCUGAACUUAAGCAUAUCAAUAAGCGGAGAA